RNAcentral lists this ribosomal RNA (424 nucleotides) under uncultured Lachnospiraceae bacterium. Its description in RNAcentral is "bacterial SSU rRNA". It matches the Rfam family "Bacterial small subunit ribosomal RNA", at positions 355 to 794 of the family's 1533-position model. Lineage: Bacteria; Bacillati; Bacillota; Clostridia; Lachnospirales; Lachnospiraceae. The record is from RNAcentral.
UGGGGAAUAUUGCACAAUGGGCGAAAGCCUGAUGCAGCGACGCCGCGUGAGCGAAGAAGUAUUUCGGUAUGUAAAGCUCUAUCAGCAGGGAAGAAAAAAUGACGGUACCUGACUAAGAAGCACCGGCUAAAUACGUGCCAGCAGCCGCGGUAAUACGUAUGGUGCAAGCGUUAUCCGGAUUUACUGGGUGUAAAGGGAGCGCAGGCGGUGCGGCAAGUCUGAUGUGAAAGCCCGGGGCUCAACCCCGGAACUGCUUUUGAAACUGUAAGGCUGGAGUGCAGGAGGGGUGAGUGGAAUUCCUAGUGUAGCGGUGAAAUGCGUAGAUAUUAGGAGGAACACCAGUGGCGAAGGCGGCUCACUGGACUGUAACUGACACUGAGGCUCGAAAGCGUGGGGAGCAAACAGGAUUAGAUACCCUGGUAGU